AAACUGCGAUAAGUAGCGUGAAUUGCAGACGCUUUGAACGUUAAACUUUCGAACGCACAUUGCGCCGUAGGAGUCCUACCCUGCGGCACAUCUGGUUGAGGGUCGUGAUCAAAAACAGCAGGACUAUGGCUGUAUUAGAAAUAGCUGGUGAAUCACGAGUUCGGCCUACCGCCUCUGGCCGAACGUGUUUUGCCAUAAUGCUAGAAGAGGACAAUCGCUCGCAAGAGAGAUUGCCUACCACACGGAUGAUCUAUUAGCUGAAGCAAUAGGUCUCGGUCACCGGGUAUCAUGCUUAUAUACUCUGUGGCGUCUGAGAUACAGCUAGUGGGCUUCAUACGUGCCUGGUAUUGAGAGUAUUCGCUCUCCCGACCUCAACUCAGGUGUGAUUACCCGCUGAACUUAAGC
Molecule: unclassified non-coding RNA, 405 nt
Filed under: plant metagenome
Description: partial contains 5.8S ribosomal RNA, internal transcribed spacer 2, and large subunit ribosomal RNA
Rfam family: 5.8S ribosomal RNA (bases 1-105)
Source: RNAcentral